RNAcentral lists this ribosomal RNA (441 nucleotides) under uncultured bacterium. RNAcentral describes it as "bacterial SSU rRNA". It matches the Rfam family "Bacterial small subunit ribosomal RNA", at positions 340 to 769 of the family's 1533-position model. The record is from RNAcentral.
UACGGGAGGCAGCAGUGGGGAAUAUUGCACAAUGGGCGCAAGCCUGAUGCAGCCAUGCCGCGUGUAUGAAGAAGGCCUUCGGGUUGUAAAGUACUUUCAGUCGUGAGGAAGGUGUUAAGGUUAAUAACCUUAGCAAUUGACGUUAGCGACAGAAGAAGCACCGGCUAACUCCGUGCCAGCAGCCGCGGUAAUACGGAGGGUGCGAGCGUUAAUCGGAAUUACUGGGCGUAAAGGGCACGCAGGCGGUUAAUUAAGUUGGAUGUGAAAUCCCCGGGCUUAACCUGGGAAUGGCAUUCAAGACUGGUUAGCUAGAGUCUUGUAGAGGGGGUUAGAAUUCCAUGUGUAGCGGUGAAAUGCGUAGAGAUGUGGAGGAAUACCGGUGGCGAAGGCGGGCCCCUGGGACAAAGGGACCUGACGCUCAUGUGCGAAAGCGUGGGGAGC